CGCAACUUGCGCUCCUUGGUAUUCCGAGGAGCAUGCCUGUUUGAGUGUCAUGUUCAUUCUCAAACCAAAGCUUUGCUGAGGUUUGGAUCUGGAGUUUUUGCUGGCUGCUCUACAGUUGGCUGCUCUGAAAUGCAUUAGCUGGCUAGUAUAAGGCCUGUCAACGGUGUUGUAAUCUCAUACGCGCUGUUAUGGUUUUUGUUGGCUGCUGAUAAUCCGAUAUUUUUGUGCAUUUGACCUCAAAUCAGGUAGGACUACCCGCUGAACUUAA
This 268-nucleotide unclassified non-coding RNA is filed under the name Basidiomycota sp. RNAcentral's name for it is "partial contains 5.8S ribosomal RNA, internal transcribed spacer 2, and large subunit ribosomal RNA". The record is from RNAcentral. Lineage: Eukaryota; Fungi; Basidiomycota.